Molecule: transfer RNA, 63 nt
Filed under: Allacta australiensis
Lineage: Eukaryota; Metazoa; Arthropoda; Insecta; Blattodea; Pseudophyllodromiidae
Description: tRNA-Gly
Source: RNAcentral
ACUUAUUUAAUAUAUAAAGUAUAUUUGACUUCCAAUCAAAAAGUUUGAUUAACAAAAUAAGUA